RNAcentral lists this microRNA precursor (194 nucleotides) under Podarcis lilfordi (Lilford's wall lizard). The record is from RNAcentral. Lineage: Eukaryota; Metazoa; Chordata; Lepidosauria; Squamata; Lacertidae.
AGGCUGCACGGGGCUAUGGCUUCUUUAGCCCCACGCAGCCUCUCCCUGCAAGGAGAGGCUGCACGGGGCUAAAGGGGAAGGCAAAACAGCGAGCGGGAUCCAUCCCGCUUGCUGCCUUGCCUUCUUCCAUAGCUGCGCGCAACCCCUCCGCAAGGAGAGGCUGCACGGGGCUAUGGCUUUAGCCCCACGCAGCC